This 1772-nucleotide unclassified non-coding RNA is filed under the name uncultured fungus. RNAcentral describes it as "sequence contains 18S rRNA gene, ITS1, 5.8S rRNA gene, ITS2, 28S rRNA gene". The stretch from base 674 to 1772 matches the Rfam family "Eukaryotic large subunit ribosomal RNA", at positions 1 to 961 of the family's 3401-position model. Lineage: Eukaryota; Fungi. The record is from RNAcentral.
GGAAGGAUCAUUCACAAUUGAAAAUGCGGCAUAAUUUGCCCAUUUACAUCCAACUUUAAAGUGCAUGGACCUUUGGGUUCUUGUGCUUUAAACCUUGUGUGCAUUGUAUUUAUUUUCUUCUUUUAUUCUUUUUUUUCAAAUGGGGUGUGAAAGGUUUCGGCCUUUUUCAGUUUGUUUGAAAAAAGAGGUAAGGGAAAGAAUAUAUAUUAAACUUACAAGAUAUCAUAUUGACAGUAAAACUAUUAUGAAUACUUAAUUCAAAAUACAACUUUCAACAACGGAUCUCUUGGCUCUCGCAUCGAUGAAGAACGCAGCGAAAUGCGAUACGUAAUGUGAAUUGCAGAAUUCAGUGAAUCAUCGAAUCUUUGAACGCAUAUUGCGCUCUUUGGUAUUCCGAAGAGCAUGCUUGUUUGAGUAUCAGUAAUAAACCUCAACCAAAAUAUUAUUUUUUGGAUGGAUUUGAGCAAUCUCAAUAUCAUUUUUUUUUUAAAAAUGAGUGCGAGUUGCUUUAAAUUUUGGUUUAGUCAAUUUGAAAUACAAUGGACUUGCUAAACAUAUCUUAAUUAAUCUUUCUAAGAUUAUUAUUUCUGUGAAGCUUGAUUAUUGGUUAAUAUUUCUUAUCAGGCUAACUGAUGCAGUAACUACGAAAGAUGUCAAAAGUCUUUUGUUAACUCGAUCUCAAAUCAAGUAAGACUACCCGCUGAACUUAAGCAUAUCAAUAAGCGGAGGAAAAGAAACUAACAAGGAUUCCCCUAGUAACGGCGAGUGAAGCGGGAUGAGCUCAAAUUUUAAAUCUGGCUGGUUUACUAGUCCGAAUUGUAGUUUAAAGAAGUGUUUUCGGUGGCAGCCUGGAUAUAAAUCCUUUGGAACAGGGUAUCAUAGAGGGUGAGAAUCCCGUCUUUGAUCCAGUGCAUGCUACUAUGUGAUACACUUUCAAAGAGUCGAGUUGUUUGGGAAUGCAGCUCAAAAUAGGAGGUAAAUUUCUUCUAAAGCUAAAUACAGGCGAGAGACCGAUAGCGAACAAGUACCGUGAGGGAAAGAUGAAAAGAACUUUGAAAAGAGAGUUAAACAGUGCGUGAAAUUGUUGAAAGGGAAACGUUUGACACCAGUCAUGUGUGUGGAAAAUCAGUCUUUGAUAGAGAGCUGUUGUAGUAUUCUGAGCGCAAGCCUGGGUGCUGUUUCUAGCUAGCUAAAUGGGAUGCACUUUUUCAUUCACAGGUCAACAUCAGUUUUGUUUGCCGGAAAAAACUUUAGAGAAUGUGACAGCUUUGGCUGUGUUAUAGCUCUUGAGCGAUACGGUGGGUGAGACUGAGGUUUGCAGCAUGUGCUCUAGGGCAAGGUUAGAUAGGAUGCUAUGGUUUUUGCGAGGCAUAGACCCUUGUGGUACUGUGUUUUUCAAAGAUUGUACUCGUUCUAUUCACGCUUCCAUGCUUAAGAUGUUGACUUAAUGGUUUUAAACGACCCGUCUUGAAACACGGACCAAGGAGUCUAACAUAUAUGCAAGUGUUUGGGUGGCAAACCCAUGCGCGUAAUGAAAGUGAACGUAGGUGCCAUCUCGCAAGAGUGCAGCAUCGACCGAUCUUGAUAUUUUUGGAUAGAUUUGAGUAAGAGCAUAUAUGCUGGGACCCGAAAGAUGGUGAACUAUGCCUGAAUAGGGUGAAGCCAGAGGAAACUCUGGUGGAGGCUCGUAGCGAUUCUGACGUGCAAAUCGAUCGUCAAAUUUGGGUAUAGGGGCGAAAGACUAAUCGAACCAUCUAGUAGCUGGUUCCUGC